RNAcentral lists this ribosomal RNA (253 nucleotides) under uncultured bacterium. RNAcentral's name for it is "partial 16S ribosomal RNA". It matches the Rfam family "Bacterial small subunit ribosomal RNA", at positions 524 to 776 of the family's 1533-position model. The record is from RNAcentral.
UACGUAGGGACCGAGCGUUGUCCGGAUUCAUUGGGCGUAAAGAGCUCGUAGGCGGCCACUCAAGUCGAAUGUGAAACCUCGAGGCUUAACCUCGAGCCUGCAUUCGAUACUGGGCGGCUAGAGUCUGGUAGGGGGAUCUGGAAUUCCUGGUGUAGCGGUGGAAUGCGCAGAUAUCAGGAGGAACACCAGUGGCGAAGGCGGCACUCUGGGCCGGUACUGACGCUGAGGAGCGAAAGCGUGGGGAGCGAACAGG